RNAcentral lists this ribosomal RNA (254 nucleotides) under uncultured bacterium. RNAcentral describes it as "partial 16S ribosomal RNA". It matches the Rfam family "Bacterial small subunit ribosomal RNA", at positions 524 to 776 of the family's 1533-position model. The record is from RNAcentral.
GACAGAGGGUGCAAACGUUGUUCGGAAUUACUGGGCGUAAAGCGCGUGUAGGCGGCCAUCUAAGUCGGGCGUGAAAUCCCACGGCUCAACCGUGGAAGUGCACUCGAAACUGGAUGGCUAGAGUCCUGGAGAGGAAGGUGGAAUGCUUGGUGUAGAGGUGAAAUUCGUAGAUAUCAAGCGGAACACCGGUGGCGAAGGCGGCCUUCUGGACAGUGACUGACGCUGAGACGCGAAAAGCGUGGGGAGCAAACAGG